RNAcentral lists this long non-coding RNA (1339 nucleotides) under Salmo salar (Atlantic salmon). RNAcentral's name for it is "lncRNA (ENSSSAG00000113541.1)". The record is from RNAcentral. Lineage: Eukaryota; Metazoa; Chordata; Actinopteri; Salmoniformes; Salmonidae.
GGUGUCUAGGGCUAUAUUUUACCUUUUAAGAGGAACAGGACGAAUGAAGAGAAUUUAGGUGGGCCAUGGCUGGCCUCUCACUCCAGUACGAUAGGUGGUGAUGUAUACAGCUAAAAGUUGGAUGCGAUCCGCCAACCAAAUCCCAAAGGAGAAGCUAGCUAGCAGGAAGCCCCGCUAAUGAAUUGAGAUCCUCUCAAGCUCUGUCAGGUUGGAUGGGGAGUGUCGCUGCACAGCUAUUUUCAGGUCUCUCCAGAGAUCGAUCGGGUUCAAGUCUGCGCUCUGGCUGGGCCAUUCAAGAACAUUCAGAGACUUGUCCCGAAGCUACUCCUGCGCUGUCUUGGUUUUGUGCUUAGGGUUGUUGUCCUGUUGGAAGGUGAACCUUCGCCCCAGUCUGAGGUCCUGAGCGCUCAGGAGCAGGUUUUCAUCAAGGAUCUCUCUGUACUUGAUAAAGGAAUUUAUAUGUUUAAAGUAAUGACUAAAGAAUUCCACCCUGAAACGUAUUUAACGGCGUGAAAUGUAUUAGAAUUAUAAGACUAUAAUCCAAUAAUGUGUGUGUGUGAGACAAGUUAAGAGUGAGAAAUGUAUAGUUGAGAAAACAAAGGACAACUGAACUACACAUGACCUGGUUAUAACUCGAAAACUGACAACAGGAAAGAGGGCCCUUCCAAGGCCCCUCUAAUCUAGGGAGGAGAGGAACAGCUAGAAACUGCCAGGCUGGUAGAAAAGUGAUAAACUAGGAAUGUGAACUGUGGAAAAAGAUACAGCCCACCUGAAAGAAAGGUGGAGUUUCUAUUGAUAAGAAUGCAGUUGUGUGUGUGUGGGUGUUAUAAAGACUGUGUUCUCAAUUUUGACUUCAGAGCUCUCUGAAUAAAGAACAACUAACCUUUUGCAGUAUCUGAGACUUUGCCUAAUUCUUAUUUUUAACCCGAGACUUACAACCUCUGGGAAUUGGUCAAAGCUUAAAUGAUUGUUUAGUUAUCAUGAUUGGGAUUGAAAAUUCUUGUGACAGUACUUUGCUCCGUUCAUCUUUCCCUCGAUCCUGACUAGUCUCCCAGUCCCUGCCUCUGAAAAACAUCCCAACAGCAUGAUGCUGCCACCCCCAUGCUUCACUGUAGGGAUGGUGCCAGGUUUCCUUCAGACGUGACGCUUGGAAUUCAGGCCAAAAAAGUUCUUUAGGUGCCUUUUGGCAAACCCCAAGCGGGCUGUCAUGUGCCUUUUACUGUGGAGUGGCUUCCGUCUGGCCCCUCUACCAUAAAGGCCUGAUUGUUGGAGUGCUGCAGAGAUGGUUGUCCUUCUGGAAGGUUCUCCCAUCUCCACAGAGGAACUCUGGAGCUCUGAC